RNAcentral lists this ribosomal RNA (1400 nucleotides) under human gut metagenome. RNAcentral describes it as "bacterial LSU rRNA". It matches the Rfam family "Bacterial large subunit ribosomal RNA", at positions 1070 to 2487 of the family's 2925-position model. The record is from RNAcentral.
AGGAUGUGGAAUUGCACAGACAACCAGGAUGUUGGCUUAGAAGCAGCCACUCAUUUAAAGAGUGCGUAAUAGCUCACUGGUCGAGUGAUCCUGCGCCGAAAAUUUCCGGGGCUAAAACGUACUACCGAAGCUACGGCAUCAUUUAUGAUGGGUAGGGGAGCUUCGUAUGCAGGCUGAAGCAUGACCGUAAGGACAUGUGGACAGUAUACGAGUGAGAAUGUUGGCAUGAGUAGCGAGACGUGGGUGAGAAUCCCACGGGCCGUAAACCCAAGGUUUCCAGGGGAAGGUUCGUCCGCCCUGGGUUAGUCGGGACCUAAGCCGAGGCCGAAAGGCGUAGGUGAUGGACAACAGGUUGAUAUUCCUGUACCGCCAAUAAGCGUUUGAGAGAUGGAGUGACACAGUAGGAUAAGCUAACCGUACUGUUGGUUAUGUACGGCUAAGCAUUGAGGCAGUCUAAAUAGGCAAAUCCGUUUAGACAAUGCUAGGAUGUGAUGGGGAAGCCCUUCGGGGCGAAGUAGCUGAUUUCACACUGUCAAGAAAAGCUUCUAUCGAGUUUAAAGGCGCCCGUACCGUAAACCGACACAGGUGGGUGAGGAGAGUAUCCUAAGGCCAGCGAGAGAACUAUUGUUAAGGAACUCGGCAAAAUGACCCCGUAACUUAGGGAGAAGGGGUGCCUGUCUAUGACAGGCCGCAGAGAAUAGGCCCAAGCGACUGUUUACCAAAAACACAGGUUUCUGCUAAGUCGCAAGACGAUGUAUAGGAGCUGACGCCUGCCCGGUGCUGGAAGGUUAAGGGGAUCUGUUAGAGCAAUCGAAGCAGUGAACUUAAGCCCCAGUAAACGGCGGCCGUAACUAUAACGGUCCUAAGGUAGCGAAAUUCCUUGUCGGGUAAGUUCCGACCCGCACGAAAGGCGUAAUGAUUUGGGCACUGUCUCAACGAGAGACUCGGUGAAAUUUUAGUACCUGUGAAGAUGCAGGUUACCCGCGACAGGACGGAAAGACCCCAUGGAGCUUUACUGUAGCUUGACGUUGGGUCUUGGUACUACAUGUACAGGAUAGGUGGGAGACUAUGAAGCAUGGACGCCAGUCUGUGUGGAGUCAUCCUUGGGAUACCACCCUUGUAGUACUGGGAUCCUAACCAUAGGCCUUGAAUCAGGUCUUGGAACACCGUCAGGUGGGCAGUUUGACUGGGGCGGUCGCCUCCUAAAAAGUAACGGAGGCGCUCAAAGGUUUCCUCAGCACGGUCGGAAAUCGUGCGAAGAGUGUAAAGGCAAAAGGAAGCUUGAUUGCAAGACAUACAGGUCGAGCAAGGACGAAAGUCGGACUUAGUGAUCCGGUGGUACCGCAUGGAAGGGCCAUCGCUCAACGGAUAAAAGCUACCCUGGGGAUAACAGGCUUAUC